Molecule: ribosomal RNA, 462 nt
Filed under: uncultured bacterium
Lineage: Bacteria
Description: bacterial SSU rRNA
Rfam family: Bacterial small subunit ribosomal RNA
Source: RNAcentral
GUACGGGAGGCAGCAGUGGGGAAUCUUGCGCAAUGGGCGAAAGCCUGACGCAGCGACGCCGCGUGAGUGAUGAAGGCCUUCGGGUUGUAAAGCUCUGUGGAAAGAGACGAAUAAGCAGCGGCCAACACCCGUUGCGAUGACGGUAUCUUUUUAGCAAGCACCGGCUAACUCUGUGCCAGCAGCCGCGGUAAGACAGAGGGUGCAAACGUUGUUCGGAAUUACUGGGCGUAAAGCGUGUGUAGGCGGCCGUGCAAGUCGGAUGUGAAAGCCCCGGGCUCAACCCGGGAAGUGCACUCGAUACUGCUCGGCUCGAGUGUCGGAGAGGUUGGUGGAAUUCUCGGUGUAGAGGUGAAAUUCGUAGAUAUCGAGAGGAACACCGGUGGCGAAGGCGGCCAACUGGACGAACACUGACGCUGAGACACGAAAGCGUGGGGAGCAAACAGGAUUAGAUACCCCGGUAGU